GGAAUAUUGCACAAUGGGCGAAAGCCUGAUGCAGCGACGCCGCGUGAGGGAUGACGGCCUUCGGGUUGUAAACCUCUUUCAGUAGGGAACAAGGCCAGCAUUUUUGUUGGUUGAGGGUACUUGCAGAAGAAGCGCCGGCUAACUACGUGCCAGCAGCCGCGGUAAUACGUAGGGCGCAAGCGUUAUCCGGAAUUAUUGGGCGUAAAGAGCUCGUAGGCGGUUUGUCGCGUCUGCCGUGAAAGUCCGGGGCUUAACUCCGGAUCUGCGGUGGGUACGGGCAGACUAGAGUGCAGUAGGGGAGACUGGAAUUCCUGGUGUAGCGGUGAAAUGCGCAGAUAUCAGGAGGAACACCGAUGGCGAAGGCAGGUCUCUGGGCUGUAACUGACGCUGAGGAGCGAAAGCAUGGGGAGCGAACAGGAUUAGAUACCCCUG
Molecule: ribosomal RNA, 432 nt
Filed under: uncultured Arthrobacter sp.
Lineage: Bacteria; Bacillati; Actinomycetota; Actinomycetes; Micrococcales; Micrococcaceae
Description: bacterial SSU rRNA
Rfam family: Bacterial small subunit ribosomal RNA
Source: RNAcentral